Long non-coding RNA from Lycium ferocissimum, 2967 nucleotides. RefSeq lists it as uncharacterized. Lineage: Eukaryota; Viridiplantae; Streptophyta; Magnoliopsida; Solanales; Solanaceae. The transcript has 6 exons. The record is from RefSeq and is a predicted model, not a curated record.
UUUGACUUCUCACAAUUUUCGUUUCUUCUCAUUUGGGAUAUUCUCCUUAGUAUAUUCUUUUCUUUGCAGCUUCAUGGGCUUGUACUUUUAGCUGCCCAUUGUGCAAUCUAAUAGAUGAAGGACUUCCGGGAGACAUUGGAUCCUUGUCCUCUUUGAAAGAGUUGAUUCUCCGGGGAAAUAGUUUUGAGCAUUUGCCUCGAAGCAUAUCUCAACUUGGUGCUCUUCUAUCCUUGGACUUAUCAGAUUGCUAGAGGUUUACCCAACUGCCAGAACUUGCACCAGAAUUAGAUGCAUUGCAUGCAUAUUGGAGCAAUGAUACGAUCUAUAAUUCGUUUGCACAUGUCAUGUUUCAAAAUAUCUCUUCCCUACAGCAUGACAGCUCUGCUUCAGAUUCCUCGUCACUAAGAGUGUUUACCACUGGGAAGAAUAUCCCAAGUUGGACCUUCGUGGAAUUGGUAGAAGUACAUCAGUCAAUUUGCCUGAAAAUUGAUAUGUAUGUGAUAACUUCUUGGGGUUUGCUGUAUGUUACUCUUGCAGAUUAGUUGACACGAUAGCUCACCCGAUUCCCUUAUGUAAUGAUGGGAUGUCGUGGAUCACCCAGAAACUUGCCUUAUACAACCAUUGAAAAUGUGAUACAACAUCUAGUAUUCAUUUUUUCUUGGUACUUUUUGCUGGCUUAUGGGAUAUAUCAAAGGCAAAUGGAAAAACACCAUGAUUAUGGACUUAUCAGGUUAUAUUUUUCCGGAGAAAUGAAGAAGCAUGGAUUUUGUUUGUUGUAUAAAGAUGAACCUGAGCUUGAGGCCUUGUUACAAAUGAGGGGCAAUAAUGAUGAGCCAACAGAACUUUGCAUUGGAAUAAGGAGGCGCAAAUAUGAAGAUAGUGAAAACCAUGAAGAAGCCAGUUGCUCCUUUUGUAAGAAACACACGUCACAUUCUAAUAUCCGUGGCUCUGUUUUCGAGAAUCUGCAGCAACAAGUAGAAGCUCCAGUCUCUUCAAAAACGUUGCAGCUCUUCCCCACAAGCCCAUGAUUUUAGAUUAAAUAUUGAGUUCAUCAAUAGGUGAUGUACACAUCAAUAGUGGGUUUUGUCAAUUGAUUCCCCAUCUUGUAUUCGACUUGUGUUGAGCCAUGAUUAACCAUGGUGAGUUCAAGGCUGUGAACAAGUUUAAAUUUUCUAUGCUCAAGUCAGAUCCUGGAAUCAUGCGAUCUUAACUCAAAUCUUACCUUGAAGUACUCGCAAAUCAAGAAUUUGAACUUGAUUAGUUGCUCACAUUUUCGAUGUGAAUAAGGACUAGGCUGUCUCCUAACUAAUUAAUUAUCAUAUUCAAUUUGUGCCUGAACCAUUAUGGGCGAGUUGUUAGUUUAACUAUGUGUUGCAUUAGUUACAAAGCCAGUUUUCCUCCGUGAAGUAAAAUUUUGGUGGAUUUUUUAAGGCCAGUGCAUUUUCUGAGGAGUUUAUGGGGCAGUUCUCACAGUCUUAUCUCAUGGUCAUCGUCAUUAUUAAUAGAAGUACAGAACUUUUUGAUACUUCUCUCUGUUCCUAAAAGAUCUGCCUUCCUUUCUGAAUCCAGUUUCAGAUAAAUAUUCUUUAACAAGACCAAGGGAACUGAUAGCUUUGGCUAUUGUAUAUCCUACUGGCAGAGUAGCAGUAACAGUUACAAAUUUCCUGGCUUUAAAUGGAAAUUUUAUGUUUUUGCAAUAAAUAGUUUGCUGUCUAAUCCUUUACUAGUAGUAAUGCGUAGCAGAAUUUAAUAGAAGUACAGAACCUUUUGAUUAAUCAAUCAGUCUUGAAUAUGUUUGGAGACAUUUAAGUUGCUAAUUUCUAAAGUAUGUAACAUUACAUUAGGUCUCAAGAAUCGUUCUUGUGUGAUUCAAUCUAGUUCAACAGCAGCCCUUGCAUGACAGGAUAUUUUCUUUUAUUACAAGAUUUUGAGUAGCUCACAAGCUGCGAAGAUAGAGUAAGGAACACCCAUUUGCACAACUCUCAGGAUCGGAUUUGUGGUCCAGGUGCUUGCGACUUUGCAUUUUAUCUUGGUGCUCCAUCUUAAGUCAUUUACUGCUAGCCAGUAUUCUGCUUUUAUGUAUACCCGCAGAUAUAAAGAUUUCACUGAGCGAUCAUUGGUAGAUGAAGAUUCAUUUGAGGUUCUUCUCAUAGGAAAGGCAAAGGAUUGUUAUUCCCAAAGGUCCCCACUGAUCCAUUAAUAGUUCAUUUUUUAUGCUCCCGCAUCGUUACAUUUGGGGAAAUCUCUGUUUUGAAUCUGAUUGCUUUAACUUUUACAUACAAAUAUCUUUGUUAUGGUGGGGAGUAGGGUAAAAGAUGAAACAAUUGACAUGAGUUGGAUUAGGUCACACGAAUCAUCGUUGUGUGAUUCAAUCUAGUUCAGCAGUAUUCCUGGAUUGACAGAAUAUUUCCUUUUAUUGAAAGCUUGUAUUAUAUGUUUACUUGUAUUUGUGCUAUUGUUAUCCGACAACAUUGAUGUAUAUGAAGGUCUUGAGAUACGUUGGAGUCGUGGACGUGUCAACUGAAAAGGGGCAGUCGAGCUGGAGUAAAUAACAUUAUCCAUUUGCACAACUCACAGGAUUGGAUAACAUAAAUGCAUUCGCAACUGAAAAAUAUGCAAAUCAACUUCUAUUAGUCCGUUGUCCACAUGUAUACCUGACAGAUAUAAAGAUUUCACUGAGCUAUCAUUGGUAGAUGAAGAUUCCUUUGAAGUUCUUCUCAUAGAAAAGGCAAAGGGUUGUGAUUCCCUAAGGGAGGUCGGUAAAAAGAUGAAACAUUCAAAGAUGCAGCACAGCAUGAGACGGUGAGGAAGCUGGAAUACGAGGUGAAGUUGAGGGCAAACUGGGACCAUGGUGCUUUUAGAACAAACUGUAACACUGCCUAUGAAGGGCACAUGUUUCCUCUGUUUGUAACAGAACAACUACACUACCUGAGAAAGAGAUUCGAAAAAUUUAGCAACUCAACUAAU